GGCAGCAGUGGGGAAUCUUAGACAAUGGGGGCAACCCUGAUCUAGCCAUGCCGCGUGAGUGAUGAAGGCCCUAGGGUUGUAAAGCUCUUUCAGCUGGGAAGAUAAUGACGGUACCAGCAGAAGAAGUCUUGGCUAACUCCGUGCCAGCAGCCGCGGUAAUAC
This 162-nucleotide ribosomal RNA is filed under the name uncultured Paracoccus sp. Its description in RNAcentral is "partial 16S ribosomal RNA". It matches the Rfam family "Bacterial small subunit ribosomal RNA", at positions 347 to 526 of the family's 1533-position model. Lineage: Bacteria; Pseudomonadati; Pseudomonadota; Alphaproteobacteria; Rhodobacterales; Paracoccaceae. The record is from RNAcentral.